This 254-nucleotide ribosomal RNA is filed under the name uncultured bacterium. Its description in RNAcentral is "partial 16S ribosomal RNA". It matches the Rfam family "Bacterial small subunit ribosomal RNA", at positions 524 to 776 of the family's 1533-position model. The record is from RNAcentral.
GACGAACCGUGCGGACGUUAUUCGGAAUCACUGGGCUUAAAGCGCGUGUAGGCGGGGCGGCACGUCGGUCGCUGAAAGCCCCCGGCUCAACCGGGGAACGGGCGCCGAUACGACCGCCCUGGAGGGACGUAGGGGGGCCUGGAACUUCCGGUGGAGCGGUGAAAUGCGUUGAGAUCGGAAGGAACGCCCGUGGCGAAAGCGAGGCCCUGGACGUCUGCUGACGCUGAGACGCGAAAGCCAGGGGAGCGAACGGG